UCGGGAGCUUGCACAGGUGCUGCAUGGCUGUCGUCAGCUCGUGUCGUGAGAUGUCGGUUAAGUCCGCUAACGAGCGCAACCCUCGCUGUGUGUUACAAGUGUCACACGGUACUGCCGGUCUUAAGCCGGAGGAAGGUGGGGAUGACGUCAAGUCAGCAUGGCCCUUUAUGUCCUGGGCUACACACACGCUACAAUGGCCAACACAAUAGGUUGCUAAGCCGCGAGGUGGAGCCAAUCCUCAAAGUUGGUCUCAGUUCAGAUUGCAGGCUGCAACCCGCCUGCAUGAAGAUGGAGUUGCUAGUAACCGCAGGUCAGCUAUACUGCGGUGAAUACGUUCCCGGGCUU
This 345-nucleotide ribosomal RNA is filed under the name uncultured Leptolinea sp. RNAcentral's name for it is "bacterial SSU rRNA". It matches the Rfam family "Bacterial small subunit ribosomal RNA", at positions 1022 to 1381 of the family's 1533-position model. Lineage: Bacteria; Bacillati; Chloroflexota; Anaerolineae; Anaerolineales; Anaerolineaceae. The record is from RNAcentral.